AUACGGAGGGAGCGAGCGUUAAUCGGAAUUACUGGGCGUAAAGCGCGCGUAGGCGGCUUUGUAAGUCGGAUGUGAAAGCCCUGGGCUCAACCUGGGAGUGGCAUUCGAUACUGCAGAGCUAGAGUAUGGUAGAGGGAAGUGGAAUUUCCGGUGUAGCGGUGAAAUGCGUAGAUAUCGGAAGGAACACCAGUGGCGAAGGCGACUUCCUGGGCCAAUACUGACGCUGAGGUGCGAAAGCGUGGGGAGCAAACAGGAUUAGAAACCCCAGUAGUCC
Molecule: ribosomal RNA, 274 nt
Filed under: uncultured bacterium
Lineage: Bacteria
Description: partial 16S ribosomal RNA
Rfam family: Bacterial small subunit ribosomal RNA
Source: RNAcentral